UUACAGAGCCGCCAUACUAAGCCCUUGCAGGGGUGGAAAAUUUUCCCUUCCUCCCUUCCAGAUUCUGUGAGUGCUUGUCAGUGAUAGGACCUACCAGAAGCUGACGAGGAGGUCUGGGAAAUGUAGUUUUUCGGCUGCCAAGCACUGGACAUAGAAGGGAAAAUAGCAAGAUAUUGCCGUGGAAACGUCAAUUCCCCAGGCCAAGAAGACCCCCGUUUCCCAGAAGCUACUUCUACAAACUCUAGAAUAUAGAUGAGCCUGGCCCAAUCACGCGCUACGUCCGGACCCAGCGGAUUUGCAGCACACCUGCAUUGGAGCAGUCUCCUCGGUCUUGGCCGUGGUCUCCGUUCCCACCAUCCGCUAAGGAGCAUCUGAUUAAGUGGCAUUGCUGUAUCCACAUGCGAUUUACAAAAAUACUAUUUUAUCCUCACCAUCAGUACUGUUUGUGGCUGCGCACUGGAUAGGAAUAAUUUCAGAAGGUUCCAGCUGGCCUUCCUCAAAAGGCACCGAUCCUCCAAUCAAAUGUCAAUGACCAAGUCUGGACCAAUGGCGUUCUCUGUCGUGGGAAUUUGGAAUCAGAAAACUGAGAGUCUGAGUCAGGUGUACCCACAGGAUGAUGGGCACUUGACCUCAAAGGUCAUAGACAACUGGCCCUGACAUUGAUACCCAAGCAAACCUGGACCCCCACAAGGCUGUGAGAUCUGUAAGAUCAUCUGUUGUAAUUCUGUAGGAACACUCCUCUUAACUUCAGCUAGUUCAACAGGAUUUCUUUGCUUUGCAACCAG
Molecule: long non-coding RNA, 785 nt
Organism: Lontra canadensis (Northern American river otter)
Lineage: Eukaryota; Metazoa; Chordata; Mammalia; Carnivora; Mustelidae
Exons: 5
Source: RefSeq, a predicted model, not a curated record